CACCCACCUCUCCACGCCAGCCCCACAGCCCCCAGCCCCACAAGGGCCCCGACGCUCAGCGCCAGCGGGAGCUGCCACUGUGGGGCACGAAGGGUUGUGGGGUCGGCGGUGCCGGGGGCCCCACUGAGCUGCCACGAUGUGGGGCUGGGGGGGGGACCGGGGGGGUCGCAGCUGGCGGCGUCUGAGGCUGCGGGAGGGGAGGGGGGUGUGGGGCUGAACGUGGGGCCUUCGGACACCGCAGUGCUGGGGGGUCACCCGGAUCUUUGGGGUCUGAGCGCUUCGGGGUCAACACAACACUUUGGGGUCAACACAACUCUACGGGGUCAACCCAAUGACUUUGGGGUCAACACAACUCUAUGGGGUCAACACAACUCUAUGGGGUCAACCCAAUGACUUUGGGGUCAACACAACUCUAUGGGGUCAACCCAACUCUAUGGGGUCAACCCAAUUCUCUGGGAUCCCAACCCAACGCUUUGGGGUCAACCCAACUCUUUGGGGUCAACCCAAUGACUUUGGGGUCAACCCAACUCUAUGGGGUCAACCCAAUGACUUUGGGAUCAACCCAACCCUUUGGGGUCAACCCAAUUCUCUGGGAUCCCAACCCAACUCUUUGGGGUCACCCAACUCUAUGGGGCCAACCCAACUCUAUGGGACCAACCCAACUCUUUGGGGUCAACCCAAUUCUCUGGGAUCCCAACCCAACACUUUGGGGUCAACCCAACUCUAUGGGAUCAACCCAAUGACUUUGGGAUCAACCCAACUCUUUGGGGUCAACCCAAUGACUUUGGGGUCAACACAACUCUAUGGGGUCAACCCAAUGACUUUGGGGUCAACCCAAUUCUCUGGGAUCAACCCAACUCUUUGGGAUCAACCCAAUGACUUUGGGGUCAACUCAACACAAUUCUUUGGGACCAACCCAACCCUUUGGGGUCAACCCAAUUCUCUGGGAUCCCAACCCAACGCUUUGGGGUCACCCAACUCUAUGGGACCAACCCAAUGACUUUGGGGUCAACCCAACUCUUUGGGGUCAACCCAACUCUAUGGGGUCAACCCAACUAUAUGGGAUCCCAACCCAAUGACUUUGGGGUCAACCCAACUCUUUGGGGUCAACCCAAUGACUUUGGGGUCAACUCAACGCUUUGGGGUCAACCCAAUGACUUUGGGGUCAACCCAAUGACUUUGGGAUCAACCCAACUCUAUGGGGUCAACCCAAUACUCUGGGAUCCCAACCCAACGCUUUGGGGUCAACCCAACUCUAUGGGAUCAACCCAAUGACUUUGGGAUCAACCCAACUCUUUGGGGUCAACCCAAUGACUUGGGGGUCAACACAACUCUAUGGGGUCAACCCAAUUCUCUGGGAUCCCAACCCAACUCUUAGGGGUCAACCCAAUGACUUUGGGGUCAAUUCAACUCUUUGGGAUCAACCCAACUCUAUGGGAUCAACCCAAUGAUUUUGGGGUCAACUCAAC
This 1469-nucleotide long non-coding RNA is filed under the name Phasianus colchicus (ring-necked pheasant). RNAcentral describes it as "lncRNA (ENSPCLG00000016903.1)". Lineage: Eukaryota; Metazoa; Chordata; Aves; Galliformes; Phasianidae. The record is from RNAcentral.